Molecule: transfer RNA, 72 nt
Filed under: Camelus bactrianus (Bactrian camel)
Lineage: Eukaryota; Metazoa; Chordata; Mammalia; Artiodactyla; Camelidae
Also listed under: 2 other names
Rfam family: tRNA
About the family: Transfer RNA (tRNA) molecules are approximately 80 nucleotides in length.
Source: Rfam by way of RNAcentral
GAGGAUAUAGCUCAGUGGUAGAGCUCUUGCUUAGCAUGCACAAGGUCCUGGGUUCAAUCCCCAGUACUGCCA